RNAcentral lists this ribosomal RNA (596 nucleotides) under Acestrorhynchus minimus. RNAcentral's name for it is "partial 16S ribosomal RNA". It matches the Rfam family "Bacterial large subunit ribosomal RNA", at positions 1808 to 2607 of the family's 2925-position model. Lineage: Eukaryota; Metazoa; Chordata; Actinopteri; Characiformes; Acestrorhynchidae. The record is from RNAcentral.
CAAAAACAUCGCCUCCUGCAAAAAUCAAAAUAUAGGAGGUCUUACCUGCCCAGUGACAAACAGUUUAACGGCCGCGGUAUCCUGACCGUGCUAAGGUAGCGCAAUCACUUGUCUUUUAAAUGAGGACCUGUAUGAAUGGUGAAACGAGGGCUUAACUGUCUCCCUUUUCCAGUCAAUGAAAUUGAUCUGCCCGUGCAGAAGCGGACAUAACUAUACAAGACGAGAAGACCCUUUGGAGCUUUAGGCAUAAAGUUAACUGUAUUUUAUAACCUCAAACAAAAACAGGUUAAAUAAAACAACACCUAACUCUUAAGCCUUCGGUUGGGGCGACCGUGGGGGAAAACAAAGCCCCCAUGCGGAUUGGGAAACUCCUAAAACUAAGAGGGACACCUCUAAGUCACAGAACAUCUGACCAACAGAUCCGGCAAUAAGCCGAUUAACGAACCAAGUUACCCUAGGGAUAACAGCGCAAUCCCCUCCAAGAGUUCUUAUCGACAAGGGGGGUUUACGACCUCGAUGUUGGAUCAGGACAUCCUAAUGGUGCAGCCGCUAUUAAGGGUUCGUUUGUUCCAACGAUUAAAGUCCUACGUGAUCUG